RNAcentral lists this ribosomal RNA (497 nucleotides) under uncultured bacterium. Its description in RNAcentral is "partial 16S ribosomal RNA". It matches the Rfam family "Bacterial small subunit ribosomal RNA", at positions 28 to 507 of the family's 1533-position model. The record is from RNAcentral.
GAUGAACGCUGGCGGCGUGCCUAAUACAUGCAAGUCGAGCGAACAGACGAGGAGCUUGCUCCUCUGACGUUAGCGGCGGACGGGUGAGUAACACGUGGAUAACCUACCUAUAAGACUGGGAUAACUUCGGGAAACCGGAGCUAAUACCGGAUAACAUAUUGAACCGCAUGGUUCAAUAGUGAAAGACGGUUUUGCUGUCACUUAUAGAUGGAUCCGCGCCGCAUUAGCUAGUUGGUAAGGUAACGGCUUACCAAGGCAACGAUGCGUAGCCGACCUGAGAGGGUGAUCGGCCACACUGGAACUGAGACACGGUCCAGACUCCUACGGGAGGCAGCAGUAGGGAAUCUUCCGCAAUGGGCGAAAGCCUGACGGAGCAACGCCACGUGAGUGAUGAAGGUCUUCGGAUCGUAAAACUCUGUUAUUAGGGAAGAACAAAUGUGUAAGUAACUAUGCACGUCUUGACGGUACCUAAUCAGAAAGCCACGGCUAACUACGUG